Long non-coding RNA from Armigeres subalbatus, 481 nucleotides. RefSeq lists it as uncharacterized. The record is from RefSeq and is a predicted model, not a curated record. The transcript has 3 exons. NCBI's taxonomy places the organism in Eukaryota, Metazoa, Arthropoda, Insecta, Diptera, Culicidae.
UGGAUUGCCUUAUAGAGGACAAGCUAGCUCAACGAUACACCAGUGGAGUGCGGUUAAAUGUUCCGACAAGCGGGUUUGCAAAAAGCAGACUUAUUAAUCAUCAACCAGGAGAAUUUUAAAUAUCGUCUGUCUUUGUUUCCUCAUGAUCUCCAGAUCGACCAGAUAUGGGAGUCGAUUGUAAAUUGGAGGAUCAGAAAUCACCUCGUUGACGUAUCAUUAAUGGCACAAGCAACCGACCAGUACACCGACAGUAAGACAACUGUGCGAGUCUUCAAGAGCAAAACCACGAUACCGCUGCAGCUGAAGCAGCACUACUCUUGAAAAACGAAUUGGAGGAUCAGAAAUAAUCUUGCUGGCGUAUCCGUAAUAAAGCAGAAUACCAACUUAAGGUACACCGGGGCAAGUUGAAACGGUUUUUUCAAAGUUGAACUUUGAAGUGCUGUAAAAAAAAUCACUCUUUGAUAAAUUUUGAAUCCGUUUG